AUUAUUUUCGUAUCCGUGAUAGUGUGAAAAGAAAAGAAGGUUCGACUCCAAGUUGUUCAAGAAUAGUGGCGCUGAGUUUCUCGACCCUUUUUUUUAGGAUUAGUUAGUUAAAUUUCUCGAUGUGGGACAGAGAAGGAAAGGGUAUAACUUAGCGGUAGAGUGUCACCAUGACACGAUGUAAGUCACCAGUUUAAGCCUGAUUACCCCUA
This is a non-coding RNA of Lupinus albus (white lupine), 209 nucleotides long. The record is from the annotation of a GenBank genome assembly. Lineage: Eukaryota; Viridiplantae; Streptophyta; Magnoliopsida; Fabales; Fabaceae.